GACGAACGCUGGCGGCGUGCCUAAUACAUGCAAGUUGAGCGCUGAAGGUUGGUACUUGUACCCACUGGAUGAGCAGCGAACGGGUGAGCAACGCGUGGGGAAUCUGCCUUUGAGCGGGGGACAACAUUUGGAAACGAAUGCUAAUACCGCAUAAAAACUUUAAACACAAGUUUUAAGUUUGAAAGAUGCAAUUGCAUCACUCAAAGAUGAUCCCGCGUUGUAUUAGCUAGUUGGUGAGGUAAAGGCUCACCAAGGCGAGGAUACAGAGCCGACCUGAGAGGGGGAUCGGCCAAAAUGGGACUGAGACACGGCCCAAACGCCUACGGGAGGCAGCAGGAGGGAAUCUUCGGCAAUGGACGAAAGGCUGAACGAGCAACGCCGCGGGAGGGAAGAAGGGUUUCGGGUCGGAAAAAUCGGUUGGUAGAGAAGAACGUUGGUGAGAGUGGAAAGCGCAUCAAGUGACGGUAACUACCCAGAAAGGGACGGCUAACUACGUG
Molecule: ribosomal RNA, 497 nt
Filed under: uncultured bacterium
Lineage: Bacteria
Description: partial 16S ribosomal RNA
Rfam family: Bacterial small subunit ribosomal RNA
Source: RNAcentral